UGUAUGCAUUCAUUUAAGUCGCUCUGGAUAAGAGCGUCUGCUAAAUGACGUAAA
Molecule: non-coding RNA, 54 nt
Organism: Salmo salar (Atlantic salmon)
Lineage: Eukaryota; Metazoa; Chordata; Actinopteri; Salmoniformes; Salmonidae
Source: Rfam